Molecule: long non-coding RNA, 532 nt
Organism: Cloeon dipterum
Lineage: Eukaryota; Metazoa; Arthropoda; Insecta; Ephemeroptera; Baetidae
Exons: 3
Source: RefSeq, a predicted model, not a curated record
GAUGCAAGGGCAGGGGCGCUUUAAGGAGGUGGGGGAUGAGGGUGCUAAGGGGAUAACCUUCUUCUUUCUUAGGGGAGUAAAGCUACCCUCUCAAAAGACGACAGGCACAGGAAGGGGUUAACGUGGAGAACGAGGAGAACGAGGAGGAGCUAGACGCAGGAGGAGAAAGGACCGUAUAAAAACCCGAACAAGGACGGAACGAGGAGAAGCGAAGUCCACGAGUUAAACGAGCCGAAGUCGGACAGCGUAAUUAGACAAGGUAGGAGAUCACUUUUGGAGGGCUCGUGGGCAACGCCGAGGACUUCCGUCGCAGGGCCGUGCCGUGGACUUUAAGAUGUCGGCGAGUGAGCGGUCAGGCUGCUGCUAAUUUCUGCCAGUUUCGGCAGUGGCGGAGCGACGUAGGGUUUAUGGUCCAGAAGGGAGCGAGCGAUAUCAGUUCGGAGGCGUCGGAAGCGGAAUUCUAGUGAUCCGCGUUGUAUUCUUUCUUGUGUACUGUUUAGAGUAAAUUAAUAAAGUCCAAUUGUCUUGUUAA